Molecule: long non-coding RNA, 288 nt
Filed under: Setaria viridis
Lineage: Eukaryota; Viridiplantae; Streptophyta; Magnoliopsida; Poales; Poaceae
Description: long non-coding RNA (SVIR_LNC006746)
Source: RNAcentral
AUUAACCAAGUCAAUGAUGAUUGGGAUCGCAAUAAGGAAAACAUGUAUGCCUCAUGGAUGCCUACUGUAAGAAGUCCGCAAGCUAGAAAAAAAGUUUUCAGGCCUAGAAUUCCAUCAUGUCGUCCACAACAACAAUGUAGCCGCUGAUGUGUUAUCAAAAAUGGGCUCAACACGUGCAGAAGUUCCAGCAGGGAUUUUUGUACAUGAGCUUCACAAACCCUCCAUACCAGAACAAGUUACUCCAGCAACUACCAAUACCAAACCUCCAAAUCCCAACCACGAGGUCAU